UACGGAGGGUGCGAGCGUUGUCCGGAAUCACUGGGCGUAAAGGGCGCGUAGGCGGCCUGGUAAGUAGGGGGUGAAAUCCUGCGGCUUAACCGCAGGGCUGCCUUCUAAACUGUCAGGCUCGAGCACGGUAGAGGCAGAUGGAAUUCCCGGUGUAGCGGUGGAAUGCGUAGAUAUCAGGAGGAACACCGGUGGCGAAGGCGGAUCUCUGGGCCAUUACUGACGCUGAGGAGCGAAAGCGUGGGGAGCGAACAGG
RNAcentral lists this ribosomal RNA (253 nucleotides) under uncultured bacterium. Its description in RNAcentral is "partial 16S ribosomal RNA". It matches the Rfam family "Bacterial small subunit ribosomal RNA", at positions 524 to 776 of the family's 1533-position model. The record is from RNAcentral.